CCAGGGAAUAGGCGCAGAAUCAAUGGCAAGCCAAGUCGACAGGUGACUUCACACAUCAAAUCGAAUCAAUGGUGUUUUUCUACUGGCACAUUAGUGCAAAAAAAUGACAAUUGAUAGCCUCUCCUUUAGCUAUCAUACCAUGUGUUGUGUCACUAAGUUACGAUCUCAGCUGCGGUCUACAUAUUUUCAGAUUAAUGAAGCUUAUAGCCCUCCAAUGCAGUAUCUGUAUGCUUUACAAAACUAUCCGAGUAUUGCAAAAUUGUAUGAUACAUCAAAUUGGAGCAUAGCCUACAUACUUAUGGACUGUGGACUUAUGUUGCUUAUUUAGAGGCUGCCGUACAUGGAUCAGGUAUGAUAUUGAUUGCAGAAAUUUCUAUACGACUCUUGCGGAUUUCAACCUUGUUCUUCUCCCUAAUUUAGGAAAACUACAAGUAUUUGGUGCACGAUCUAAAAUAGCUGCAGGCUAAUCCUCCCCUAAUGUUCAUAAUGUUCUGUGGUACACAAUAUGGGUAAAGGAGAGCACAUUGCUCUAAUGUUUUUCCAUAUGAUAUUAAAUCAGACAUUUCAGUGGAUAAUAUAUGGUAUUGACUUGGACAUUGGUGUUGUGGAACAAUCUAGCAGGUAUUGGAUCUUAUAGAAUUAUAGAGUUGGCAGGGUCUGAAAAUCAUGGUGUUGGUGUUUCAGCCUAUUAAUCUGUAGAUAAAGAAAGUCCAUACAUCUCUACAAAUAAUCCUGAAGAAAGUUCUACUAUUGCGAACGCUCCAACUGAAUAAGAAAUAUGAUUUUUUUUUAAUUGAAGAAGAAGCCAGUUUCUCGAGAAGGAAUACAGAAUAAUAUUUGGGAUUAUUUACUUGAGGUCUCAGAUUCAUCGCAUCAACCGUGAGGGGUAGUAUGCAAGGAUCAACCGAUGUGGAUAACAAAAUCUGGGUGCGAGCUUCCGGGAAAUCUAAUUGGGUCUAUGCAAACAAGCAGAUUUGGAAGAUAAUCCCUGUACAUGUUGAUUUGGCAAAUCUUUGACAGUAGUUGUGGGUCUUAUACUGAUGACAAUCAACGUGUCUUUUCCGACCAACCAGGGGUCGAUUCCAACAUAUGUUUUGUCCAUCUUUGAAGCCCAUUUGCUACUCAUUGAUCUGCUUCACUCCUCCACAAGGUUCUCUUGAGCGAUGAGUCAUACUGGAUGUUCAAGGACACAGAAGGCUUCAUGAACCACAUUCUCUUGCUGAACUUUUUUUUGGCAUCAUAACAACGAUUCCCAUGAUCUUUCUAUGGUAAAACCUUCAGUCUUGUUAAUCCCGUUAUCUUGAGUUAUGAUGGUAUAUGAAUUUUUUUCCAUUGGAGCAACAAUGUCAUUCUUUUUUAGCCUGCAACUAUGAUGUUUCCAUUCAAGUUACUGAUUGCUGGAAUGCGAUUAUUUGAAGGCAUCUUAUGACCUGGUCAUAACUAGCCAAAGCUCUGCAAUAUUAGUGUGUAAUCAUAUCCUCUUUCUCUCUGCUUGUGGGUAGUGCUUUACUGAUGGACGGUGUUGGCGCGUUUAGGGCAUAAUGACCUGAGCGGUAGAUCGUACGGUGAACAACGUCGACAGCAGCGCUAGAGCGCGGCGAGGCUGGUUGAGGUUUUCUCUAUGCUUCUUUUAAUGACCACAUGUAAUUUUAUUUGAGAUCUUUUCAUGGUUGCAUUGUAUUAAUAGGUGCAGUUCAGAAAAGAAUUAGAAGUUGGAUCUCUCCUUUUGUGCUAUUAUUGCUAAAAUCAAGAGGCUCAUUACAAGGAAUUGUCAUGUUUUGUGUACCUUGUAAUAGUGACACGCAAUGGUCGUGUGAUGUUGAGUGAUAUUGAUCCUAUUUGAUAAUGGCUGGUAUAUGUUCUUUGGUGACACGCGAUUUUAUGGUUUAGGAGAGACCAAGACUGCCGAGAAAGAAAGAAGCCAAUCUGGCCCCCUGGGACCUGCGACCACAGCUGGAGAGGGCGUCUCCCCCUUGUCGACGGGGUUUGGCGCCGGUGCUCGGUGCGCCGUCUUAGCCGUGUUGGGUGGCGAGUCAGCGGCGGGCUUGGAUCCGAUCUGAAGUUGGUGGCAUCACCAUGCUUGUCCUCCUUUGUUAGCUGAUCUGCGGGCUUCCUCCGGAUGUCCUGCUCGGCUGGUUGGUGGAGCAAUGGCGAUGCAAGCUCUGGGUCGGGGGAAACCCUUCACCGGUGGUGCCGGUCACGAUGUUGGCGGCGCUUGCGGUGCCGUUCUCCCUCUGGUGGGCGACAUCGAGACCCUCUCCUCGCCUUCCACCCCAUGGUCCCGGGCGAAAGCCUAAAAUCUCUUGAUUGGGCGGCGACAGCGCGUCGGCAUCGUUUUCUUCUUUAAGACGCUGCCUUGGGAGUCCAGGAUGGCCAGGGGCUUGGAGUGGUGGUGGUUUGCCUGUUCUUCUAACGUGACCCUGCUUGGUAAUGGCGGUGGGUUCCUUGGUCUUGGCCGGUGACGGGCACGAUGUAUGGGUUCCAAUGAGAGGUGAGGUGGCCAGGGCUCGUCCUCUCCCCAACAACAUGUUGGCCAGUCCAUCCGUGCUCGACGGUGAGCUAUUCUGCCUCCUGACGGGCCGACGUCCUUUGAUCUAGGACGAGAAGGCAGGGGUGCCCUCUUCGGAGGCAGAGGUUGAAGGUAGGACAACUGGGUUGGCCCUUGGGAGUUGAUGGAGCAUGGCCUUCCUCCGGUGGUGAAUUGCUCCCUUACGCGGUUGCGUCGAUGGCAUGAUCGGAGGUCGUCGCUUGUUGUUCCAUAGUGUUUGUAUCCUGUUGAUUUUUGGUUCUCUUAUUUUCCUUCUUUGUUGUGGUGAUGGCUGUAAUGUGUGGUUGUUGCUUUAUAUAUAAAGCGGGGCGAAAACCAUGCUCAGUAAAGAAAGAAGCCGAAGAGAGUUUGAAUUUGUUGCUAUUUGAUGAAACCAGA
This is a long non-coding RNA of Triticum aestivum (bread wheat), 2926 nucleotides long. RefSeq lists it as uncharacterized. The transcript is spliced from 4 exons. NCBI's taxonomy places the organism in Eukaryota, Viridiplantae, Streptophyta, Magnoliopsida, Poales, Poaceae. The record is from RefSeq and is a predicted model, not a curated record.